Scleropages formosus (Asian bonytongue) is the source of this 435-nucleotide long non-coding RNA. RefSeq lists it as uncharacterized. The transcript is spliced from 3 exons. NCBI's taxonomy places the organism in Eukaryota, Metazoa, Chordata, Actinopteri, Osteoglossiformes, Osteoglossidae. The record is from RefSeq and is a predicted model, not a curated record.
UAAAGAGGUAAAAUGCAAAACAAAGUGGUAAAAGUCCAUCUAUUGUCACCAACCGCUUGUCCCGGAGCCUCAGGCAGCAACAUGCGGCGCAAGGGCGAAGGAAACGCCCAGGACGGGACACCAGUCUGUUGCAAGGGACCUCAAGGAGGGCUCAAACCCAACAUCUGCCACACGGCAGGCACCGGCUGAACCCACCAAGCCACCACAUCCCUGCAAGAAAAGACAGGUCAAAAGAGGUGACUUGGCCAAGCGAAGAAGGCGAACGGGACCCCAAUUUGAAUGGGGUGGAGAAGGGAUGUCAUAAGCAGCCGUGAAAGGGAUAGCAGUGUGUUACAUUAAAGAUACGCAGGACAUGAUGUAACACCCCAACAUACUGUAUUCAUCCCACCUCUGACUUGACUGGACAGGAGACCUGCCCAUCAUCAUUGACCCCAG